Molecule: ribosomal RNA, 421 nt
Filed under: uncultured bacterium
Lineage: Bacteria
Description: bacterial SSU rRNA
Rfam family: Bacterial small subunit ribosomal RNA
Source: RNAcentral
UAAGGAAUAUUGGACAAUGGAGGCAACUCUGAUCCAGCCAUGCCGCGUGAAGGAAUAAGGCCCUAUGGGUUGUAAACUUCUUUUAGACGGGACAAAACCCCUUUACGUGUAAAGGGUUGAUGGUACUGUCAGAAUAAGCAUCGGCUAACUUCGUGCCAGCAGCCGCGGUAAUACGAAGGAUGCAAGCGUUAUCCGGAAUUAUUGGGUUUAAAGGGUGCGUAGGCGGACUAAUAAGUCAGUGGUGAAAGCCUGCAGCUUAACUGCAGAAUUGCCAUUGAUACUGUUAGUCUUGAGUACAGUUGAGGUAGGCGGAAUGUGUCAUGUAGCGGUGAAAUGCUUAGAUAUGACACAGAACACCGAUUGCGAAGGCAGCUUGCUAAGCUGUAACUGACGCUGAGGCACGAAAGCGUGGGGAGCAAAC